Molecule: long non-coding RNA, 1471 nt
Filed under: Equus caballus (horse)
Lineage: Eukaryota; Metazoa; Chordata; Mammalia; Perissodactyla; Equidae
Description: lncRNA (ENSECAG00000049405.1)
Source: RNAcentral
AUGUGUGUCAUCCAUAAAGGCCCCUCCAGCGUUUCUGGUCUCUGGCUCUGUGAACAUUCUCAGAAUGUUCUGAAUGUUCUCAGAACAUUGGAAGGAAUAGGUGAUAGUGCAAGAAGUAGCAGCACAGGCCCAACUGACCAGGGACGCUUAAAGGCCGAGCUGGCCCUGGGAAAAAUGAUGAGUGACUUCUAUUUUUUGCUAUCAUUCCAAUUUCUCUCUUCAGCAGUGUCACUCCUGCCCAAGCUUCAGGGUCCUAGCAUAUUUUGUCCCCCUCACUUAAAUGUCAUUUUAUAAAAAGAUGUGCCUAACUCAUUUUUUCUAAAGAGUAUAUAUAACUGGUCAAGCUAAAUGUACUUGCCUUCAUGGGAGUGUCAACCUUUACUGCAAGACAAGGUCUUCAGCAGGUAAAUUUCAAACUUUUUAAACUCAUGUUCUCUGCUUUUUUUAAACAUAAAAGUCUCAGAUCUUCCAUUCUGAUGUAGCUCCCUGGGAGCCACAGUGUUGUCUGUACAUUCCUGCCACUCAAGAAGACCUUGUUAUGCUUUAUUUUCUGAAGUCUGUGUUGUGGAAACAUUUCUGUGUUUUCCAAAUAUGAAUUAUAACAUUUAAUUCUGCUCUUUCAACACUCCCCACGCCCCUGCCCCUUGCUUUGGCCCCUGCAACCCCAAGGUACCCUAAAAAAGUGCAGGUUUCUCUCCCCACCCAACCCUCAGUCAAAGAUCCCUGUCUCAAGUUGUGGCAGAAUAUAUUUACCAAGAUGGCAUGAGGAAGAUCUCCCCUUCCGUGUGUUCCUGUGACGAUGUAACAGUGUAACAUCAACACUCCUCUCACUGAGAGGUGAGGUCUAUAUCCUCUCCACUGAUUCUAUUGGGUCACCUGAGACUAUGAAAGAAGUGGCACUACGUGACUUCUGAUGCUAGGUCAUAAAAAGCAAGAGUUCCCACCUGGUCCUGUUGGGACUUUCAUUCUCGGAGCCUAGCCACCAUGCAGCAAGGAAGCCUAACCCACAGGAGAGACCAUGUGUUGGUGCUCCAGCCAACAGUUCCUGCUGAGGUCCCAGCCAACAGCCAGCAUCAACCACCAACAAGAAGAAGAGCCCUAGGGAUCCUGAUAACCUAGAGUGACAUCAUGUUGAAAACCUGGAAUGUGAAAUCACCUAUCUUCAAGCUGUUAGGCACUAGGAGAAGGAGCUGGAGAGCUGGAGAUUAGCAAAAAGCUCAGCAGCCACAAAGACGGGUUGACUAGGAAAUACAGGGUAUUUAAAAUAAAUUUCAUGUAUGUACAUUGCAUUCAAGCUGCUCCUGCUUUAUUUUUGAGAUCUAAAUAUUUAUGAAAUGUUUAUCAAUAAACACUGGCAAUGUGUACUUUUUUAUCUGGUUACCUGGGAGUUCGAAUGAUCUUUUUCUUUAAAAGAUACCCAUCAUAUAUAUUUUAUAUACACGUAUGUAUCUUUGAUAUAUAGGAAUCAAAA